UACUUAAGCGCCAGAACUUAAUUGUUUAAUUAAGUUGACGAGGUCAGAGUUAAUCGAAAUAUCGGCGGAUGCUCUGCGGUGUGCCACCAUCGAAGGAUUUCUACAAAGUAUAAGAGUAAUCUUAUUAAACAAAAAGAA
This 138-nucleotide non-coding RNA is filed under the name uncultured Intestinibacter sp. RNAcentral's name for it is "glmS glucosamine-6-phosphate activated ribozyme". It matches the Rfam family "glmS glucosamine-6-phosphate activated ribozyme aptamer", at positions 11 to 153 of the family's 167-position model. Rfam says of the family: This entry contains a glucosamine-6-phosphate activated ribozyme that is found in the mRNA for GlmS. GlmS is an enzyme that uses fructose-6-phosphate and glutamine to generate glucosamine-6-phosphate. The record is from RNAcentral. Lineage: Bacteria; Bacillati; Bacillota; Clostridia; Peptostreptococcales; Peptostreptococcaceae.